Long non-coding RNA from Parus major (Great Tit), 3268 nucleotides. RefSeq lists it as uncharacterized. The record is from RefSeq and is a predicted model, not a curated record. Lineage: Eukaryota; Metazoa; Chordata; Aves; Passeriformes; Paridae. The transcript has 4 exons.
UUUGCCAUCUUCCUGGGCUUGGAUCAUUAGCUGCAAUGUUAUUAUAGAUGUGCAGGUUAAUCUAGUCCUGUUCCAAUUCUCUGGGUAAUUGAAACACGGCAGAAAAGCCCCACCCACCACCAACUUCUUCCUUUAGCAGUGGCUUUCCUCUGAGCACCAGGGGCUGUUUUCCCCAGAGCAUGUUACUGUGCUGUUACUGAGAAUACAAAUAUUCUCAGAAAGGGAAGUCUUUACACAGCAGAGAUUUUGGAAAGUGUUGAGCAGAGCUUGAUGACAUGUAGAAUUAUGUACUGGGUGUUUUUUUAAAUAAACUUGCUACUGAGCAUGAUUGAUUAUAUUUCUUUUUAAUGAUUGCAUCCAGAAUGAAAAUGAUGGUUGGGGAGCUUGGAUACGAUGAUAAAGAUGACUCCCAUCUGAAGUAGGAUCACACUUUAGGGAAAAAGAUCUGCAGAGAAAAGGAAAGCUGCAAAAACAACAAAGAGUCAUUGAUUGGGAAUUCUCUCUUUGCUCAUCUAAGAUGGACCCUCAUCUUCUUCAUGAGCCUUGUGUUCUUCCCAGUGAACUCAUGGCAGAAUUAUUUCCAGGACUCCAGUUAAGAAAGUUAUAAUAUUUCCAGUAAGAUUUUAAGACACCCUGAAAUAAUAUAGUGCCUGAACACCUGGAUAAACCCAGAGGAGCAGCUGUGCAAUAUCUUGGUUGUGCCAAGAUUGGGAAUCGAUUGCCCCAUCCAGUGGCCCAUCCUAUAGACAUGGGAGCUGCAGGGGGAUUCCUGAUGGAUCAGAGGGAUGUCAGGUCUAACAUAUUCUGCAAACUGCUGCAUUUCCUCCUUCAGAAAGAAUUUUACUACUCUAUAACACAUGAGCAUCCUGGCAACCUUCCUAAACCUGUGUGGAGAUGGAUGUGGAAGCUAUUUUGUUUCAGGAUAACCUUUCCCCUGUGUUGCUGUAAGUCUUGAAAAUGAUGGACCUUUCACAGGCAGUGCCUUCUUAGCAGAGACUCUAGCUGUGUUUAAUAUUCAUUGUUUUCAGUUUCUUCUGUUUUGACUAAUGUGAAAGAAAUCUGUUUUUCUUCAUCAAUUCUUUAUUUAAAAAUCUACAAUUAAAAAAAACUAAAAAAAUCCCUGGAACGUGUGCAGUGUUCCCCAAUCUUAGUCCACUUUUGCUGCCCCAUUCAAUUCAGACGGGUCAGAGGUAUCCCAAAACUCUACAAAUUAUAACUUCAGUGCUUUCACUGUCAGUUUUGAAGCUAUUUGUAAUUGAUUUAUUUUUUUUAUUAAACUAAUAAUACUGAAAUAUGAACGAGUUUUGUAUACAUGGAGUAUACAGAGAAAAUAGACUUUACUGUCUGACAGAUAUCUAUAAAGGAAAUUACUGGUUUAAUUUGAAUAAAGAUAUUAAAAGAAUUUCAAGAUGUCAAAGAAAAGCAUAGAAAUAUAAGACAUUCCAGAAUUCCAGCCACUCAAAAAAAGUGCAAUUUUCCCUAUGCAUGCAUAUUUUUUGUCAUACUGUUUUAUUGCUGUACUCAUUUUUUUCCCUUUAAGAUAUCUGCCACCUUCCACAUCUGUUUGACAAGUUCUAUCAUCUUCAUCUUACACUGAACAGGUUCCAGCUUCCAUGCUUAGGGGAUGUAUUGGUCAAGAGGUUUGUUGCUGGCUUUUGAUGUGAUUGUAGGAAGACUCAGAAUAGGAGAUACCUUUCCCAUGUUGAGGGGCGUGGUUCAGAAACACCCAGUUUUCUGGAAAAGGUCGGAUUUUUCUCCUUGUGGGUUUUUUCCUUUCCUUUCCAGGUACCUCCUGAACCAGGCUCUAGACUGCCAUGGGUCCUGUGGUGGAGGAUCAAAGCUCUGCUGUGUGACCCAGCAGCCUCUACUGUCGUGCAGAGCCAGCAGCGUGAGGGGGGAGAUGGAUGCCUCCAGUGGGGAGAUGGAUGCCUCCAGUGGGGAGAUGGAUGCCUCCAGUGGGGAGAUGGAUGCCUCCAGUGGGGAGGGCAGAGAGGCAGCUUGCCCCAGUGAUGCUCAGCUUCUGUCCAAUAACCUGGUUUUUAGCAAGCUCCCUUUGUUUACAUCCCUGCUAGCCACGCAUUCAGUUCUGAAGUGGCAAAGUUGUCUGAUAAUUUGUAAUAAUAUAUUCUAGGGGACAGUACACUGCCAGAGCUCUAUGCCUCCAGUGACUUCUCAGAUCUCAUUUUCUCUUGAUAUUAAACCAAGACAUUUGAGAUCCUCUCUGGCAUUUCAAGUGAGUUUUGGUUUGGGAAAUCAGACUGUAAAGGUAAAACAUCUAUCAUGAUCGUUAUACAAAGUUCACAUUCUGCUUGGAGCAGUUUUUGGAAAAAUGUUUCACAGUUUUUUCAGGUAUAUUAGUCUGAGAGGAUCUUUUGAACUAAUUUCUAAUUCCUCUAUAUCUAAACUAGUUGAUUCACCUUUAGCUCCAUUCAAAUUGAGGAACUUCUGCUGCAGCUGUGAGAUGCUGCAUCAUUAAUAUAGCACUGGCACAGCAGAGUAGCAGUGUGUUCACUGCCUGAAUUGGUGGUUUUACUUGUGUAGCUUCCAGGUUAGCACCUCUUUCUGUAGAGCUAUUACAGAACCAAGCUACCUGGAUUUUAACCUGCAAUUCUCCAGCCCCAGAGCUGGCAAACAGGAAGGAAGACAGCCCCCAGUAAGACACUGUGAUGAGGGAUACCAGAUUUGCAAGCCAGGAGAGAGAAGGGCUCAUUUCUCAGGUACUGCCAUAAUCUUGUUUAACAUUUGCUCAGGGUGUAGAAAAAAAAAGAAACCUCAAGAUAAAAUAUUCCCUUUCUAAGCUGCUUGGAAUGGAAGCGUGUAUGAUGGAAAAUGAUGGCACAUUCUGAAAGUUAUUAUCUGAACACAGAUAAUAACUUUACUCCUGACCACUCUAGGAGAAUAGACCAAUAUUAUUGCUUUUUGAUUUCCCAAGAGAAAUCAAAGAGCCCGGUCAUUUGAUGCCAUAUCCUUGGAGACUAAUGUUUGAUGUCUUUUGGAGCAAAAUGGAGCAGGGUUGUGUAACUGAUGAAAAUCAUUGGUUGUGAACACAAUAAAUUUUAGAUUAUUUAUUUAUACUCCCGAUGGAGCCAGAGUGAUAUUAUUUUGUGGGUGAAAUACAUUCAAUUAAAAACUGAGUUAUGGGAGAAUAACAAAACUGUUUUAGUUUACAACUUUGUAAAUAGUUGAGGCUGCAAAGAAUGGAGGAAGAUAUUUAAAUAUCUGAAUACAACAUCUCAGUGAAUUUGGAGUUAACUUUGCCUUUGUUUAA